RNAcentral lists this ribosomal RNA (1698 nucleotides) under Monotaxis grandoculis (humpnose big-eye bream). Its description in RNAcentral is "16S rRNA". The stretch from base 108 to 1585 matches the Rfam family "Bacterial large subunit ribosomal RNA". The record is from RNAcentral. Lineage: Eukaryota; Metazoa; Chordata; Actinopteri; Spariformes; Lethrinidae.
AGCCCAACAGCUAGCCCAACCCGCAAAACUCAACAAACCCUGUUAAUACCCCCAAACAUACUUAAACCCCACUAAACAAACCAUUUUUCCCCCUUAGUAUAGGCGAUAGAAAAGGAAAUCAUGGAGCGACAGAAAAAGUACCGCAAGGGAAAGCUGAAAGAGAAGUGAAAUAACUCAGUACAAGCCAAGCAAAGCAGAGAUUUGCACUCGUACCUUUUGCAUCAUGAUUUAGCCAGACACCUCAAGCAAAGAGCACUUUAGUUUGACACCCCGAAACUAAGUGAGCUACUCCAAGACAGCCUAUUGUAGGGCCAACCCGUCUCUGUGGCAAAAGAGUGGGAAGAGCUUUGAGUAGCGGUGACAGACCUAUCGAACUUAGUUAUAGCUGGUUGCCUGGGAACUGGAUAAGAGUUCAGCCUCCUGACUUCUCACCUCACCCCUGUCCAAACUUUAUUUCGACACGUCAGAGAAGCCUAGAGAGUUAGUCAAAGGGGGUACAGCCCCUUUGACACAAGACACAACUUUUUCGAUAGGGUAAAGAUCAAAACCUUAACACAGAACAAGAUGUCACGGUGGGCCUAAAAGCAGCCAUCCCUACAGAAAGCGUUAAAGCUCAGACACACUACGAUUCUACAAUUCCGACAAAUUAAUCUUAACCCAUCAGCCCUACCAGGCCUCUCCAUACCCCCUAUGGAGGAGAUAAUGCUAAUAUGAGUAAUAAGAAAGCCACGACUUUCUCCCCGCAUAAGUGUAAAUCGGAACGGACUCACCCCCGAACAUUAACGGCCCCAACCAAAGAGGGUAAUGCACAAUCACCUUCAACAACUAGAAAACCAUCCAACCUACCACCGUUAACCCUACACUGGUGUGCCCCAGAGGAAAGACCUAAAGAAAGAGAAGGAACUCGGCAAACACAAGCCUCGCCUGUUUACCAAAAACAUCGCCUCUUGCAAAACUAAUGAAUAAGAGGUCCUGCCUGCCCUGUGACUAUAUGUUUAACGGCCGCGGUAUCCUGACCGUGCGAAGGUAGCGCAAUCACUUGUCUCUUAAAUGGGGACCUGUAUGAAUGGCAUCACGAGGGUUUAACUGUCUCCUCUUUCAAGUCAAUGAAAUUGAUCCCCCCGUGCAGAAGCGGGGAUGAGCACAUAAGACGAGAAGACCCUAUGGAGCUUUAGACACUAAGGUAGACUAUAUCAACCGCCCCCAAAACCCGGGCCAAAACCAAAUACCCCCCUACCCUACGUCUUCGGUUGGGGCGACCACGGAGUAAUAAAAAACCCCCGCGUGGACCGGGAACACAAUUUUCCCACAGACAAGAGCUCCCGCUCUAACAAGCAGAAUUUCUGACUAAAAGUGAUCCAGCCAAUGCUGAUCAACGGACCAAGUUACCCUAGGGAUAACAGCGCAAUCUCCUUCUAGAGUCCAUAUCGACAAGGAGGUUUACGACCUCGAUGUUGGAUCAGGACAUCCUAAUGGUGCAGCCGCUAUUAAGGGUUCGUUUGUUCAACGACUAAAGUCCUACGUGAUCUGAGUUCAGACCGGAGUAAUCCAGGUCAGUUUCUAUCUAUGAAAUAACCUUUUCUAGUACGAAAGGACCGAGAAGAUGAGGCCCAUGACAAAGCCACGCCUCCCCCCCCACCUAAUGAAACCAACUCAAGUAGGUAACCGGGAAUACUUCUUCCCCCGAGAAAAUGGCAU